Molecule: ribosomal RNA, 165 nt
Filed under: uncultured bacterium
Lineage: Bacteria
Description: partial 16S ribosomal RNA
Rfam family: Bacterial small subunit ribosomal RNA
Source: RNAcentral
CUAGUAAUGGCAGGUCAGCAUACUGCCGUGAAUACGUUCCCGGGCCUUGUACACACCGCCCGUCACACCAUGAGAGUUGGGAAUACCCGAAGCCUGUGAGCUAACUUAUAGAGGCAGCAGUCGAAGGUAGAAUCAAUGAUUGGGGUGAAGUCGUAACAAGGUAAC